GACGAACGCUGGCGGCGUGCCUAAUACAUGCAAGUCGAGCGGAAGUUGAAGAGCUUGCUCUUCAACUUUAGCGGCGGACGGGUGAGUAACACGUGGGCAACCUGCCCUGCAGAUCGGGAUAACUCCGGGAAACCGGUGCUAAUACCGAAUAGUUUUCGCCACCUCCUGGUGGCGUACGGAAAGACGGUUUCGGCUGUCACUGCAGGAUGGGCCCGCGGCGCAUUAGCUAGUUGGUGGGGUAACGGCCCACCAAGGCAACGAUGCGUAGCCGACCUGAGAGGGUGAUCGGCCACACUGGGACUGAGACACGGCCCAGACUCCUACGGGAGGCAGCAGUAGGGAAUCUUCCGCAAUGGACGAAAGUCUGACGGAGCAACGCCGCGUGAGUGACGAAGGUUUUCGGAUCGUAAAACUCUGUUGUGAGGGAAGAACAAGUACCACUUAACUACUGGUACCUUGACGGUACCUCACCAGAAAGCCACGGCUAACUACGUGCCAGCCGCCGCAGUAA
RNAcentral lists this ribosomal RNA (511 nucleotides) under uncultured bacterium. RNAcentral describes it as "partial 16S ribosomal RNA". It matches the Rfam family "Bacterial small subunit ribosomal RNA", at positions 28 to 523 of the family's 1533-position model. The record is from RNAcentral.